RNAcentral lists this transfer RNA (74 nucleotides) under Brucella inopinata. RNAcentral describes it as "tRNA-Glu". It matches the Rfam family "tRNA". Rfam says of the family: Transfer RNA (tRNA) molecules are approximately 80 nucleotides in length. Their secondary structure includes four short double-helical elements and three loops (D, anti-codon, and T loops). Lineage: Bacteria; Pseudomonadati; Pseudomonadota; Alphaproteobacteria; Hyphomicrobiales; Brucellaceae. The record is from RNAcentral.
GCGCCCAUCGUCUAGCGGUUAGGACGCCGCCCUUUCACGGCGGAAACAGGGGUUCGAUUCCCCUUGGGCGUACC